AACGUAGGAGACAAACGUUAUCCGGAGUUACUGGGCGUAAAGGGCUCGUAGGUGGCCAACUAAGUCAGACGUGAAAUCCCUCGGCUUAACCGGGGAACUGCGUCUGAUACUGGAUGGCUUGAGUUCGGGAGAGGGAUGCGGAAUUCCAGGUGUAGCGGUGAAAUGCGUAGAUAUCUGGAGGAACACCGGUGGCGAAGGCGGCAUCCUGGACCGACACUGACACUGAGGAGCGAAAGCCAGGGGAGCAAACGGG
Molecule: ribosomal RNA, 253 nt
Filed under: uncultured bacterium
Lineage: Bacteria
Description: partial 16S ribosomal RNA
Rfam family: Bacterial small subunit ribosomal RNA
Source: RNAcentral